AGCAGAGCCGCGGUGACAGCUGAGCUCCAGGUUUACUGAAGAAACUAUCACAACCGAAUAUGAGCUGGAGCAGAAACCAAUGCGUUUAAAUGACACACUGGGAGGGCAAAAUCCAGCCGGUAAAGCAACACUUGCUGUAGAACGCCUGUACUUUGAUGGGAAUACACUGAAGGAGGCAGUAGCAAUCAAAUGAACAUUGAAGAAAGUUGACUACUUCAGCUGCACACAGGUUCAGGAAGACAUCCAUGCCCUGGCAACCUUCAUUUUUGUCCCCAAGCAACUAGGGGGCGCCUGGAUUUGAGUUUGUCUUCAUCCUGAACCCACCACUCCCAGACACGCUGUCCCACCCUGCAUCCUCUCCCUCCUCUCCUUCUCCCAGAGCUUGGCUUUCUCCUUCCUCCUGGCACCCACGGGCCCCUCUGGCCU
Molecule: long non-coding RNA, 426 nt
Organism: Cololabis saira (Pacific saury)
Lineage: Eukaryota; Metazoa; Chordata; Actinopteri; Beloniformes; Belonidae
Exons: 3
Source: RefSeq, a predicted model, not a curated record